ACUGUCCUUAUCUUGGGGUUGCGAGCUUGCCCAAGGAACGUUAAGUGAGGGUAAGACUGCUAACAACAAGAAACACAAUUUACCAGCACACAGAUCUGAUAGGAUUUGAUGUGCAAUUUUUGGAGCU
Liolophura sinensis is the source of this 127-nucleotide small nuclear RNA. RefSeq annotates it as U4atac minor spliceosomal RNA. The transcript has a single exon. The record is from RefSeq and is a predicted model, not a curated record. NCBI's taxonomy places the organism in Eukaryota, Metazoa, Mollusca, Polyplacophora, Chitonida, Chitonidae.